Molecule: ribosomal RNA, 300 nt
Filed under: Triticum aestivum (bread wheat)
Lineage: Eukaryota; Viridiplantae; Streptophyta; Magnoliopsida; Poales; Poaceae
Description: partial small subunit ribosomal RNA
Source: RNAcentral
AUGAAUUGGUGUGCAGAUAUUUUGACAGCAGAAGCGUUGGUUCUAAGACUUGGCUUAUUACUUGCUAAGAAAACGGGAUGCAAUCGUCUUGUUGUUAACACUGACAAUAUGAAAGUGAUUGACAUAAUGGAGAAUGGAGGACAUUCAGCAGGAGCGACGGCAGUCCUAUUCGACGACUGUUAUGUUAUGGCAUGUGAUUUUCCUCUUAUUAUCUUUGAACAUUGUAAUAGGAAGAAUAAGGUUGCUCAUAAACUUGCUAGGUUAGCUAAAUUCUCUGUAAAUGGUUUGAGAAACCAAUGA